This is a non-coding RNA of Araneus ventricosus, 75 nucleotides long. Lineage: Eukaryota; Metazoa; Arthropoda; Arachnida; Araneae; Araneidae. The record is from the annotation of a GenBank genome assembly.
GACUCGGUGGCGCAACGGUAGCGCGUCUGACUCCAGAUCAGAAGAAGGCUGCGAGUUCAAAUCACGUCCGGGUCA